RNAcentral lists this ribosomal RNA (194 nucleotides) under uncultured bacterium. Its description in RNAcentral is "partial 16S ribosomal RNA". It matches the Rfam family "Bacterial small subunit ribosomal RNA", at positions 335 to 526 of the family's 1533-position model. The record is from RNAcentral.
ACUCCUACGGGAGGCAGCAGUGAGGAAUAUUGGACAAUGGGCGCAAGCCUGAUCCAGCCAUGCCGCGUGCAGGAAGAAGCAUCUAUGGUGUGUAAACUGCUUUUGUACGGGAAGAAACACUCCUUCGUGAAGGAGCUUGACGGUACCGUAAGAAUAAGGAUCGGCUAACUCCGUGCCAGCAGCCGCGGUAAUAC